GCCGAUCCUAACCCACAGGGACUCAGUCUUAUCAUUCCCAGUCUCAGCCUCGAGUUCUGCAACAUUAAAACACUCUCUAAUAUAGAGAGCCACACCACCACCCCUUCUGUGCUGCCUGUCCCUUCUGAAGAGCCUAUAGCCAGUUAUUGCAGCACUCCAGUCAUGGGAGUGGUCGCACCACGUUUCAGUGAUGGCAACCAAGGCAUAGCUAGCUUGCUGCACAAUGGCUUCCAGCUCCUCCUGUUUGUUGCCCAUGCUGCAUGCAUUAGUGUAGAUGCACUUCAGCUGUGCUAUUUCCUGCCCCCCCCCCGGCCCUGACACUGUUCCCCCUGGCACACCUCUAACAAGCCUUAUUCCAUCCCAUCCCUGUCCCCGAUAAUGGGCCCAAGCAUGUUUUCUUUGCUGGUUCUUGAGAAAACAUAAAUUGACUUCACACAGAAACAAGAUAAGUAAAUUUUAGUGGCAGUUUAUAGUAUUUUUUUUAAUGGUCAAUAAUGUUUUCUGUUAAUGGUUUUCUUUCCAUCUUUGCAUUCCAUGUGAAGUAACACGAAGAUAAUCAGCAUUUUGAAGGCAACUAAAAGGUGUGAAGAUGGCCAGGAUGAAUCUGGGGACUAUCCUUCAAGAGCCUGUGGAAUAUGUGGAACUGUGGAACAGCUCUGGGCUGUUCCUCUCCUUGACAGCAUUGCUCCCGCACAGGGGUCACAGCCUUCAUUUUGCAGGUGCAUAUGGACACAGGAAGCAUUACCUCAUCGCUCCGGUUUGGCAUUGGAUGGGCAGAAGCAGAGGAGGAGCUGGGAAAACUGACAUCCUAGACAGACAAAAAAAGUUGGACUGGGUAAAAAAAGUUGGAUUCUGCCAGCUUCUUGCUGUGGUCUGUUAACAGCUGCCUAGGCACAGGACUCUUCUCCUGCAAGUCCUCUGCAGAUACAGAACCAAUGGUUCUGUGUGCUAAAUGCCUGGAGCAGUUAUUUUCAUACUUUGUCCAUGUCUAUGUUCAAUUAAACCUGCAUCUCGUUAUACUGCUACCUACUGUGUUCUUUUCACAUAUUGGCCAAAAUCUGCUCUUCAAAUCUCCUGAUUAAGGAAGUUUGCAUGAAAACAACUGGUGAAUGCAGUUCUUCCCUUUUUGGACUGAGGUCAGGGCUCAGGAGGUAUUUCUGCUGCGCCUUGAAACCCUAGUGCACGCUCCCGGAUUGAUAAUAAGUAUGCUGAACACCACCAGACCAAGUUCAUCUGCUGCCGAGGAGAGGAGCUGCAC
Molecule: long non-coding RNA, 1258 nt
Filed under: Anser brachyrhynchus (Pink-footed goose)
Lineage: Eukaryota; Metazoa; Chordata; Aves; Anseriformes; Anatidae
Description: lncRNA (ENSABRG00000015159.1)
Source: RNAcentral